AGAAAGUAUUGCUGUCUAUUCACGUCUUGUUUUCCUAAGAAACAGAGAAAUCUUUUCUAACAUACUUAUCCUCUGUAAUUUUCUCUAAGGUCGAUCUUGGCUGGUAUUUCGUACCCAACUAUGUAACCAAGUGUCCAGGGCCACCUCUAGACAGCCGGGUGAUUCUUUUUGUUAUAGUCUUGUGUAUGUCGUCGAUGCAAUGAUGUUUGUGCUGGGAUGCACUACCAGAGCUACAUUGGAGAUCUCUCAUUUUGCUGCGAGGUUGGUUUGCUGCGAGGUUGGCAUAUGGCUAAAACUCGCCUUGUUCGAGCACAGAGCCGCCAUCCAUCACGAGGAGCAUAACUAUAUUAAGUAAAAUAUUUUAGUCCACCAAGUACUUCAUUAAUAUUUUCCACCCUACGAUUUUAAAUAAAGAAAAGGUGUGUGUCUCCUCCUUCUUCUUUUUUCUCACAAUGCAACAUUAUAUAAUAAAUUUACUUAAUAUUUCAUAAUUACCCAAAAGACUUAGAUCUGGUAAUCAUGCCAGAAUUAAGAGACUGAGUCUCUUUACUGUAAUUUUCUCUAAGGUCGAUCUUGGCUGGUAUUUCGUACCCAACUAUGUAACCAAGUGUCCAUGGCCACCUCUAGACAGCCAGGGGAUUCUUUUUGUUAUAGUCUUGUGUAUGUCGUUGAUGCAAUAAUAUAUAUAUUUUUUUUCGGAGCAGUUUUUUUUUCUUCUUUUGUUUUUUUUUCUAGCAUUUUUUUGUUUUUUUUCUUUUGUUUUUUUUUUCUGGAGUAUUUUUUUUCCUGCUUUUGUUUCUUCUUUUUUUUUUUAUAUAUAUUUUUUUUACCCAAAAUUGACUUUUUUGUUUUUCUUUUUUUUAAUUUUUUUCAAAAUUAUAUUUGCUAAUUUUUUUAAAUAUUGAGCUGGUUGAAAAUUUAACUGUAUCUUUUUUUUUAAAAACAUUGUGGAUUACUAUAAUAUUCUCAUACAUUGUUUUUUUUUGUGAUUUUUUUUUAAAAUGGUUUUUGUAGAUUUUAUUUUUUUAUAUUGAGUUGGUUGAGAAUUUAGCUUUGUAGUUUUUUUUUUUUUAAAAAAAACAAUAUGGAUUGCUACAGUGUUUCCCCUAUAUAGUUUUUGUUUUGUGCAGUGUUUCCCCAUAUAUUUUUUUAAAAAAUUAUCUUUAUCGAAUUUAUUUUUUCAAUAUUGAGCUGGCUGAUAAUAGCUUUAGCUUUCCCCACAUGUUUUUUUUAUUUCUUUUUCUUUUUUUCACAAAUUGUCAUUUUUUACAUUUUUUUUCAGAAUUUUUUUGUUGAUUUUAUUUUUUUUGCUAUUGAGCUGGUUGAAAUUUUAGUUUUUUUGGUUUUUUCUUUAAAAACUGUAGCUUUCCCCGCGUGUUUUUUUCUCGCUUUUGUUUCUUUUUUUUACAUGUUUUUUUUUUCAUUUCUUUUACCCAAAAUUGACUUUUUUUUUUAAAUAGUCUUUGUCAGUUUUUUUUAUAUAUUGAGCUGGUUGAGAACUUAGUUUUUUUUUUUUAAAAAAAAAAAACACUAUGGAUUGCUACAGUGUUUCCCUUACAUGGUUUUUGUUUGGCUGCAGUGUUUCCCCCACAUGUUUUUUUUUUAAAUUAUCUUUGUCAAAUUUAUUUUUUCAAUAUUGAAUUGGUUGAGAAUUUAGCUUUAGCUUUAGCUUUCCCCACGUUUUUUUUUUUAAAAUUUUUUUCCAAAAUUGUCUUUCUUCUUUAUAUUUAUUUUUUUUUCAUAAUUAUUUUUGUUGAUUUUAUUUUUUUUACUAUUGGGCUGAUUGAUAAUUUAGUUUUUUAAUUUUUUUUCUUUAAAACACUAGAUUGCUGCAGUAUUUCUCUAAAUGGUUUUUUAUUAAAUAAUUUUUUUUUCAAAAUUAUCUUUGUCGAUUUUAUUUUUUUCAUAUUAAAUUGAUUGAGAAUUUAGCUUUAUAGUUAUUUAAAACACUAUAGAUUGCUACCGUGUUUUCCCACAUGAUUUUUGCCUUGCUACAUUGUUUCCCCAUAUAUUUUUUUUAUCGAUGUUUUUUUUCAUACUGAACCGGUUAACAAUUUAGCUUUUUUUUCCUUAAAACAUUGUUGAUUGCUAUAGUUUUUUUCAAUAUGCUUUUUUUUUUCUUAUGUUUUUUUUUAAUUGUCUUUGUCGUUUUUAUUGUUUUUGAUAUUGAGCUGGUUAAAAAUUAUAAUUGUAGAUUUUCUCAUGAAACACUAUAGAUUGUUAUAGUGUUUCCCUGGAUGUUUUUUUUCCUUUCGUUUUUUUUAUAUAUUUGUCAAAAUUAUCUUUAUUGAAUUUUGGUUUUUAAUAUUGAGCUGGUUGAGAAUUAUAGUUGUAUAUUUCCUCACAAAACAUUAUAGAUUGUUACAGUAUUUUCUUAAAUGAUUUUAAUAUUUAGCUGGUUGAAAAUUUAGCUUUAACUUUCCCCAUAUGUUUUUUUUCCAUUUUUUUAUUAUUUGCUUUUUGCUUUUUUUUUCUUCCAAAAUUGUCAUCUUCUUUUUUUCAUUUUUUUUGUUGUUUUUUUUAUAAUUGUUUUUUGAUUUUUUUUUAAUAUUGAGCUGGUUGAGAAUAUAGCUUUUAGUUUUUUCCUUUAAAAUAUUGUGGAUGGUAACAUUUUUUUUAUAUGAUUUUUUUCACAAAUCCACAAUAAUGCACAAGCAUGCUACAAGCCGCGGCAUCGCACGGCAUGUCACGCCUUUUACUAAUAUAUUUACUUAUUAAUAUUAUAUAUUAUAUAUUAUAUUAUAUUAUAAUUAUAAUUAUUAUUAUAUUUUGUUAUUAUAUUAUUAUAUAUACUAUUUUUUUCUUUUUUUCUCUUUUUAAUUUUUUUAAUGAAUUUUUUUGUUUGAUUUAGUUUGUUAAUGUUAAUUUUUUUUAUUUAGUUAUCAGAUUUUCAUGAUACGAUCUCGGGUUUGAUGGUUGCCUGAUUUGAUAAGUUAUUUUUUUCAUUUAGUUUAAUUUGUUAAAAUUAAUUUUCUUUCUAUUUAAUUAUCAGACUUUCAUACUUUCAUGACACGUGUCCUGGGUUGACGGGUUAACUUGGUUUGAUGGGUUAACCCAGUUAAUUCUGAGUAAAGCCGUCAUUUGUUUUUAUAUUUAGUUGUUAAACUUUCAUUAUGUGAAUCCCAGGUUUUACGGGUUAACCUGGUUUAAAGAGUUAACCAAAUUAAUUUAAUUUUUUUCUUUUUCUUCAUUAGUUUUUUCCUUUAUGUUGAUUUUUUUUCUUUGUUUUUUUUAAUCAAUCUAUUUAAUUAUCACAGUUUUAUGACAUGACCUUAUAGCUAGACCCACAUCCAAUAUUCUUGGGUCCGGUGCUACAGUCAGACUCACUUAAACUUGGGUCAUGCAAGUUUAAUUUUAUUAUUAAUAUUAUAAAUAUUACUCUUAUGUCAAGCGUUGCAGCCAAACCCAAGAUUCUUGGAUAUAGCUUUUCAAAAAAACCCAAGAUUUUUAAAUUUUUAUUUGUUUUGAUAUUUUUUAUACAAAAAAAAAAUGACCCGCGGCAUCCCGCGCGGGUCAAGUAUCUAGUAUGAUUGAAUUUCCGUCAAGGUUAACACAAGUCCAAAUUCCAUUAUCUUUCCGGAUUAAAAUAAUUAAUUAAUUAUCAAAAUUAAUUAAUGCAUGUAUAGCACAUGGGUGCUUUUAUCGAUGCUUACUGUUGUCACUGUGCUAUGCCGUGGGAGAAUUCUAAGUUUAUUUUGAACAUGAUAAAAAACAUAAAUCAAUAUCAUAAAUGUGUUUUAUUGCAUUAUAUUUUUUUUUAGUUGAUAAAGAUAAACAUACUAUUUAAGUUUAAUAAAUAAAUUAAAACAAUAUAUAAAUUGAUAAGUUAUAAAAGAAUUAUUAAUUCUAAUUAAAUACAUAAAAAAAAAAAUAAUAUUUUUUUAAAAACAAAAGAGAGUUGAGUAUACAAAUAUCUAACACCAAUUUUUUUAAUUUAUGUGCUCUUAUUUUUUUUAUUUGAGGAUUAUUUUUUCUUGCCAAGAACAAAUUAUUUGCAUUUUUAUAACACAUCAUGUGCAAAUAAAUCUUAUUUUUAUAAAAUAAAUAUAAAAAACUUAAAAAUAAAUUAUAGUAAUCUUUUGAAAACAUUAUAAAAAUACAAAAUAGCUUUUAAAAAAUAACUGCUGCUUAAAAAAAAACUAAAAAUAAAUAAAAAUCAGAGAGAGGGCAUUUAUUUGCAUGAUGUAUAUAUUAAUUACGAGAUCAGCUAUUGAGAAUUUGAUAGAGAUCUUAAAAUUCAGACCAUAAACAUUAUUUGACUGGAAAGAAAUGUUUCAAGCAAAACCAACUAGAAUUUGGGUAGACUAAGAUUUUGAACCAGAUAAAAUCUAUUUUUAAUUUAUUUUAUAUUUUAAUCUAGAACGUAAUAUACCGGCUACUUCAAACGAAACUGACUGAAAUUGAAAACCUGCUGGGUAGUAUAUAUCGUUCUCUUGGUAUAAUAAAAGGCAUUAGGUUUGAAUGCAAGAUUUCUAUAUAUAUCAAAUCUAGACGGCAGACAUUCAUUAUGAGUUUAUUGAACAGCCCUAGAAAAUGCACAAGGCUCAUCAAAUACGCAAUAAUCAUGUUAUAUAUGGAUCAAUUUCGAACACGGGCUAAUAUUGUUAUUAUAAUUGCUGAGGAAAAAUUUCAAGUCAAAACAUGAAGUAAAUAUUUUCAAUUAAAUCGGUGCAAUUUGGUGCUGGUCGAAGAAUUUGUCCUGGUAUAUUUAUGGGAAUUGCCACCGUGGAGCUUUCACUUUCUAAUCUUCUCUACAAAUUCUACUGGGAAAUGCCUGGUGGGAUGAAGAGGGAAGACAUAGACAUCGAUCAUACGCAACCCGGUAUUGCUAUGCAUACGAGGGACGCUCUCUGCCUCGUGCCUAAGGCCUAUAUAUGCUGUGAUGGGCAAUGAUGCGUAAAGGAAUUGUGGACAUCAUCAUGAAUUAGGUGCCGUUUGGCACUGCGAUGCAACUUGUUUUUUGUAAAAAUUUUUUUAAAAAAAUUUGUUAAAAUUAAGUUUAGUUUGUAUUUUUUGGAUCAUUUUGAUGUGCUGAUAGCAAAAAUAAUUUUUAAAAAAUAAAAAAAUAUUAUUGGCAUACUUUUCGACACGAAAAGCUAUUUGAAAAGCAACUGCUACCACACUCCCAAACACCCUCUAAAACACGAAGCUGCCCAUGAUCAGUAGUUUUUUUGUUUUUUAAGGUUUGCGCGUUGUGUGUAAUAAUAAGAAUAAACGACGGGGCUUAAUAUGAAGAUUGGCCUCGAAUAAUUUUCACGCAAGCUCCGUUAAAUUUUUUCUCCCUGUUCCCCUGCUACUCUCUGCCUUUUAAAAGGCUAGAGAGCUUUAACAACCAUUACCCCACGAACGGAAUCGUGGUCCACGAUUUACUGCAGAUUUCCUGUUGAAUCGAUUUUCUUCGUGCGAAACGGAAGGGAUGAAGAACAAAGCUUCCAAACGGCGCCGUUUGUAUCCUUGAGGUUAUUUUUCACUUUGAUCCCUGAACGUUUUAAACUUAACAAUUGGGAUCUUAAUCAGGAAUAAUCAAUUUCUAAUUGUGCCAUUGGAUUAAUUUCAAUUGAACCCUCAGUUAUAGUGCCAUUUACACAACAAUCUUGGGUUUCUGGACUAUUCAAUUUAGUUCUUGGACUUUAAUUUUCUAGCAAUUUUUCUUUGAAUAAGCUCCAAACUUUGGUAUUUUUUCAAUUAAACCCCUGAUUCCUUUAAUUAAGUCUUCAAACUCAUCAAUUAUUCAAUUAAACUCUUGAUUUCAUUAAUUAAAAUAAUCUAAAUUUUAAUUAAAUCUAUUCUCCAAUUAAACCCUUGAUUUAAUUAAUUAAACUAGUCAAUAGUUUAAUUAAAUCUUUAAACUUUCAAUCAUGUUGUCUUUAACCAAAUUUUAAUUCAUUCUUCAUUUAUUUUAUUUUUACUUGUUUUUCAUUAUUUUUUUAAAAAUAAAAUAAUUAAAAAAAAGGUCAAAAAUUGAGUUAUGACAGUUACUCACUCUUUAUAAUAUUUACUAUACAAAGACAUUGGAAAUUUUUUAUUUUCUUUAGCUUUGUGUAGUAAAUUUAUAAAGAAAAGUAGAUAUGAAAAGGAGUUUUGAAAACUUCGAAAACAGUAGAUUGACAUGAUUUUUACGGAAAGAACAUGCCAUUUUUUUUUUGUUUUUUUUUUAUAUAUAAAAUGGAUUAAAUUGUUUUAAAUAACCUACCCGAUGAUAAAAAAACCGUGAAUAAUUUUAUGAGUAGUUUAAUUGUUCCAUACGACCGGUAUUACUAUGAAUACAAGGGACGCUCUCUGCCUCGUGCCUAAGGCCUAUGCUGUGAUGGGCAAUGAUGCGCCGCCCAUGAUCAGUAGUUUUUUGUUUUUCAAGGUUUGCAUGCUGUGUGUACUGAUUAGAAUUAACGACGGAGCUUAAUAUGAUUAGAAUAAUUUUCACGCAAGCUCCGUUAAAUUUUUAAGCAGCCCAUGCUUAAUCUAAUAAUGGAUCUUUCAUUAAUACAUGUCUGGAUUAUGCUCCAUUCUUUAUUUUAGCAAGCCCGUAUUGAACAAAUUAAUGGAAAUAGCUAAUAAUCAUGAGCUCCGGUGCCUUUAUGCCCCAUUUUCCCAUCACACACAAGCUUAGGCACAAGGCAGAGAGCCUCCCUCAUAUGAGGAACAAGACCGGGAAGCACAUCAUCCAUGUCUAUAUCUUCCACCCCGGUUGGCAUUUCCCAGUCAAAUUUAUGAAGAAGAUUCGCAAGUGAAAGCUCCACAGUGGCGAGUGCAAGAAAUAUCCCAGGACAAAUUCUUCGACCAGCACCAAAUGGUAUGAGCUCAAAAUCAUUUCCUCUCACAUCAAUGGAACUGCCCAAGAAUCUAUCAGGAUCGAACUCGUAUGGGUUCUCCCAAGCUUCCGGGUCCCUUCCAACAGCCCAAGCACUCACGUAAACUAAGGUCUUGGCUGGUAUUUCGUACCCUCCUACGGAACACUCCUUCGUUGUUUCUCUUGGGAUCAGUAGAGGUGCUGCUGGUUGCAAUCUCAUGGUCUCUUUAACCACAGCUUUCAGGUAAGGCAAUUGUUGAACAUCAUCUUCAUGCACAAAACCUUUAUUUCCAAAUAAAUUUCUAACUUCUUCUUGAGCUUUUCGCAUUGCUUUAGGAUUCUUCAUUAGAAAGGUCAUGGCCCAAUUCACAGUAACUGCACUUGUGUCUGUCCCCGCAACAAAUAUGUCCUGCAAGGACGCAAAAGAAAUUUAAAUUGAGAAUAAUACUACAAAAAUAUAUACCAUUUUUUUCUGUAUUAUUUACUGAGAACUAGAUAUACACAAAGAUUAUUAAACCUUGCUGGGCUUAAUCAAUUAAAAUAAUAUUAUUUUAAAUUAUUUUAAAUUCAAUAUAUUUUAAUAAAGCUGAUCAAAUUCUAAAUUGAAUUGUCAAGUAGUUUAAUUUGACCAAGUCAAUUAUCACUUGAAUUUUUUAAAAUUCAACUUAACUACAUCUUAGAUUAACCUAGCAGGCCUGACCAAGUUAAUACAAGCUCGAGUUUCUUUUUCAAUCGGCCAUCUACUUGGUUUUAAAAUACAAAUUAACGAAUUAAACCUCACUUAGCUUUAUCAAUUAAAAUAAUAAUAUUUUUUAAUUAUUUUAAGUUUAAUAUACCUUAAUAAAGCUGAUCAAAUUCUAAAUUGAAUUGUCAAGUAAGUCAAUUAUCACUCAAUUUUUUUUUAAAAAAUUCAACUUAACAAGAUCUUAGAUAAAAUUAACAGCCUGACCAAGUUAGUACAAGCUCGAGUUUCUUUUUUAAUCAGCGGUCUAUUUAGUUUUAGGAUACGCAUCAACAAAUUAUUAUUCUUUUUCCUCACCAAAAUAUUCUCUCCCUCAUUUAAAUUUAAAUUGAAUCUAAAUCUCGGACUUGGAAAUUCGAACAUUGUACUGAAUAAUAGCUAUAUAUCACUUGGAAUUGAGAAUAAAGAAAAGUAAUGAACAUUGAAUACAAGAUGAAAUUACUUGAGUUUAGAAAUUAUUAGAUUACCGUUAGAAUUGCUUUGAUGUGAUCCAGGGUUAGCUGAACUUUAAAUGAGCCAUCCUUGUAUAUCUGAAGCAAAAAAUCAAGUAUAGUAUCCUCUCUCUCGGGCUUAGGUCUAUUUGGAUCAAGAUUGUCAUCAAUGAUUCUUUUGUAGAAAGCAUCAAAUUCCUUGAAACUCUUUUCCAGACGAUAGGACAGUCCGGUUAGUUUAUCGACGAGCCAGCCCAGGCAAGGAAAAUAAUCCGAAAGGAAAAAGCUUGAAGCCAUAGCCUGGAUUUCGUGAAGCAGCUCUGGGAACCUAUUUUUAUCGCUUCCUCCAAUUUCAUACCUUUUUCCAAAGGCAACUCUGCAUAUUGUUGUGCUUGUGAGAGACACCAUUUCUUCAGUCAAGUUGAAUGGUUUAGAAGCAAGAGCUGAUCUGGAUAUGUUUUCAAUCAUACGAGAAACCUCAUCUUCUCUAAUGGGACGGAAACUUUGUGCUCGAAUUGAGCUAAAGACAUGAACGACACAUAUUUUUUUCAACUCCCUCCAAUAAGCUCCAUAUGGUGCCACAGCCAAGUCUAAGCCAUUGUAGGAAAUUUUUUGCAUGCCAGUCAAGGCAGGCCUACUACAGAAUUCGAGGUCAUGAGUUUUCAAUAUCUCUCUAGCCAUUUUGGCUGAAGAGACUAUGAGGGCUGGCUUGAAGCCUAGCCUCAAGUACAUGAGGGGGCCAUGUUUUUGAGAGAGUUUCCAUAGAUACUGAUGAAGGUUGGAAUUGCCAAGCUGGUGUAAGUUACCGAUGAAGGGAAGACCAUCAGGACCAGGAGGCAAACAGGCCUUUUUAGUGGUUUUGUUUCUCUUGAUCAGAAGAAACAAGAGGAAAACGGGGAGAGAUAGAAUUAGGAAGUCGGAUAAAGCCAUUGUGAUUGAUCUAUGUUCUUUCAAUCACCAUAACAAAAGCUAAGAUACCUCACAGAUUCAUUAUGUACACUCUUACGUGGUUGUGGAUUUCUAUAAUGAAAUUAGUAUUUUGUUUUUAAUUGGCAAAAACAUUUAAUUUUGUUUUAAGGACACGAAAAUCUUUUCCAUAAAAUUUAUUAGUCAUUACAAUAAUAAUUAAGGUUAAAUAACUUUUUUAUAUUUUCAUUACACAGUAUAAUUAUUUUAUUACUCUUUAAAAAAAACAUUAAAUUUUAUUCGAGGGACAUUUUAGUUUUUGACUUAAUUUUCAAUCAUUUAAGUUAUUUCAUCUCCCUUGGAGUUUCAAAGGCUCUGUCUUUGAUUUAGGGGUUUUGUAGUCUUUUACAUUUGAUUAUUUAAUAGUUAUUAAGUGUAAUUAAUUAGGGGCAGCAGGGUGAGCAAAUUAAAAAAAAUAAAUUUGGAAUCAUAUGAACAAUAUCUGUCAAGUUCAGAUUGUAUAUGCGACGCUAUCAUGUGGCCAAAACCUUGCUUCUAAGGCAAUAGUCGGAGAGUCUCAGCAUCCCCCUCUACAUACAAGCAACUCGUGUGCCAAAAUAAUUACCGGUUUGACAUGUGUAACCUCUUAUUUUCUUGUUUUUUUUCUUUUCUCGUACUCGAUUUUCAUGCUAGCCUUCAAGGAAAUCAAAUCAACCCCUAGGACUUGUUAUCCUUAAAAUUAUGUCCCUAUACAAUUUAUAACAAUUUUUAUUUAUUUAAAAUAAUUUAUAAAAUUAAAUAUAUUUUUUUCAAUUUCAUUCACAAUAGAUUUUUUUAUCUAUCAAAUUUAAUUUUCAUUCUUUUAAUUACUAUUUGUUUUAUUUGAGAUAGGUUUUGAAAUUGAUCCCUUUUUUUUUUAACAAUUUCAUCCUCUAACAUUCUUUUUAUUCACUUUCUAUGGGAUUUAUAUUUCUUUUUAAAAUAACAAGGGUUGCCUCCGGUUUAUUUUUUCUGAUAUUUGUUAAAUUUAGCUUUUUUAAAAGAAAUUUUGUAUUUUAUUGAUUUCAUCCUCUGUCAUUUAAUUGACCAGAUGUUGAGCUUUUUAGUUUAGCUCAUGUCUACAAUUUAACUGGUUAUGAGUUUGAUAGAUUAACCUAGAUUUAUGAGGUUUAGCGGCUUACAAGGUUUAUUUGAGUUUGCUUGGUUUUCUUCUUCUUCUUCUUCUUUUUUUUUUUCUGGUUUCAUCUACCAACAUUUUGGUAUUCACAUUCUUUGAGAUUUUUCUGUGGUUUUGAAAGUAACUCGAUUUUUUUUUACCUUUAUUGAAUCUAGCAUUUUGAAAAAUAAUUUUAUUUUUUAAUUAAAUUAAAUUAAUUGCUUUAUAAUAAGUAUGAGAUGCUCAUUUCAUAGGGUUUUGUUUUUGUAUGUUUUUCGAGUCAUUGCUUUGAUAGCACGAGCAAUCUCUUUCUGUUUCUAAAUUCUUAGAUUUUUCUUACUCAUUUUAAAAAGUUGAUAUUGCAUGAACAUUCCUUUUUAUGUUGGUAAAAAAUUAACCCAGCCCGUAGAGUAGUGCAAGAUACACGCUCCCGCGUGCGCUCACACACUAAAAGGUCUAGGCAUUUCAAUUGUAGCAUUGAACAAUUAAAUGCCAAAACCUUUUUCACCUUGGUCAUCAAAAUUUCUGAGUAUUUCUUUUUUUUUUUUUUAAUUUUAAACUUAGUUUUUUUUAAUUUCAUCCUCCAACACUGAGUUUAAUGAUAUUUGAACUUUAUAAUUUAUUUUAAUUUUAUUUCUAUAGAGAUAUUCCAUUCUCAGUCCAAUCUGGCUUACACGCUUCACGAUUUUGUUUUUGGCAACCCACAUGCCCCAAAACAUGUCCUAUAAAGCUAGGUACCAAUUGCCUUAGUAUGCCCUGACUCUGAUGUGGGAUGUUACAAGCCAUGUUGACUUGAGUUAUUUUUCUCUUUUUUUAAUUAAUUGUUUCUUAACUUCAUCGUUCAAUAUUGGGUUGAUCGGGAACUGAGCUUUAUAACUGUUUUUUAAUUCAUUUUUUAUGAGGUUAUCACAGUUAGGUUAGCUAGGUUGACUUGUUUUUUGUUUUUUUAAUUGAAUAUUUGUUUUCUUCAAUUUAACCCUUCUACAUUGGAUUGAUUGAGAAUUAGACUCUAUAAUUUUUCUCAAUUUGCUUUAUAUGGAGUUAUCCCAGUCUUCUGACCUAAGUUUGGCAUAUUAACCCGGGUUAACUCGAGCAUUUUUUUUUGUUUUUUUUUAAUUUAAUCCUUUAACAUUUGGUUGAUUGAUAAUUGAGAUUUAUAAUUUUUUUUAUUUAAUUUCUAUGAGGUUAUCACAGUUUUAUGACCUGGAUCAUGAGUUAGGCCGGUUGACUUGAGGUUUUCUUGUCAUUUUUUUAGUUGAUUGUUUUUUUCAAUUUUAUUUUUCAAUAUUGAGUUGAUUGGGAAUUAGAUUUCAGAACUUAUUUUGGUUUGCAUUCUAUGAAGUUAUCUCAGUCUUAUAACUCAAGUCAUAGGUUUGGUCGGUUGACUCAAGUUAACUUAGGUGUUUUUUUGUGUUAAUUUUUAAUUGAUUUUUUUAUUCUAUCCUUCAACAUUGGUUUUGAAUGAGAUUGUGCUUCAUAAUUUUUCUUAAUUUACUUUUUAUAAAGUUAUUUAGGUCUUAUCAUCCGGGUUUAAUAGGUUAACCUAAGUUACUUGAACUCCGCUUUUUAGUUGAAUUUUAUUAUUGGAUACUAUGUUGAUUAAUAAUAUGAUUUAAUAUUAUUUUUUAUUUUUUCUAUAAAGUUAUUAAAGUCACAUAAUAUGGGUAAUGAAUUUAAAAGGUUAAUCCGAAUUGAUCCAAGUAGGUUUAAUGUGUUGUCAUUUCAAUAUUUUAAAAAAGAUGUUGUCUUGAUUUUUUUCGAGUCAAAUUAUAUUUUUAUUAAUCGUCUGAGUUGCUUUUAAACCUGUAAAUCAAUCAAAUCAAUCUUCAUAAAAUUUAAUUAUUUUUUUUUGUUAAAGAACACAUUGACAAAUAUUUUUUAUAUAAACAAAAUGUAAUUGAACCUAUAACAUAUCACAAACAUUAAUCUAACUAACAUACUGGCCCGCGCUCCGUGGCAGGUCAAUAACAAUUUUUUUACAAAUCUAAAAAAAAUAUUGAAAGUAUAAGGAAUAUUUUAAGUGUCUUGGGUCUAGUGGUCAUGCCAGAUCCAAGAGACUGAGUCUCUUUGUUAUAUAUUUUUUUAUUUGCUAUAAAAAAUAUAUUUAAAUUACCCUUAAAUUAUCCUAGAUAGAAAUGAUAAUUAAUUAUUUUUAUAAAUGUUUUUUAUUUUUUCUAAAAAAAAAAAUUUAAACCAUCAUUGAAGUAUUCUAAAUAAUUCUUUUUAUAAUUUUUUUAUUUAUUAUAAAAACUAUAUUUAAACUACCAUUGAAAUAUAUUUUGUUAUUAGUAAUGGAGUUUUAAAGGUUCAUGUGGUAAUUGUUUUUUGAUGAAAAAUGAUUGAAUCUGGUUUAAUAGGUCUAAAAACUUUUACCCUAAUUUUUUAAUUAUAAAUUAAUGAUGCAUUAUUUAUUUAGAUUGGUUACGCAUCGCCCAUUUAUUUAUUUAAAAAAACUUAGUACACGUCAUUUUUCUUUUUUAAAAAAACUUAGGCAUACAAGCCUAGACUUUAAAUGUUGUUAGGUAUGCUGGGCCCAAAUUUUAUGCAUCACCCAUUUAUUUAUUUUAAAAAACUUAGUACAUGCCAUUUUUAUGUUUUUAAAAAACUUAGGCAUACAAGCCUAGACUUUAAAUGUUGUUAGGUAUGCCGGGCCCAAAUUUUAAGCACCUAUGCUCAUAUCCCUUUAAGUUUUUUUCUUGAUUUUUUUUUUGCAUUUGUAAUUAGAUUGCUUUUUUAAUAAAUAAAUUUAUUAAAAUAAUAUUUACAUAAUUAUCCAAUUAUGCUAUUAUUUUUAAAUAAUAUUAGUAUCUUUUACAAUAAUAUUAACAAUUAUUUUCGAAAUAAUUAUAUAUGAACCUUGAAUAAUUAAUGUGAAUCAAAUAUUUUUAUUUUUAUUUUUUUAUUGUAAGUUUUUAUAUAUUUCUUUUUCAAAAUUAGUAUUAUUAUAUUUUUAAUACAUUAGUGUCAAAUUUAUCGAUUCAUUAUUUUUUUCUAGUUUUGUUUAGUAAAACUUGCUUUUAGAAUUAUGAUGUUUUUAUUUAAAGAACAAUGCUAUCAAAAGAAGAAGAAUGCAUCAGGAAAAGGGUUUUGAUUAAAGAGAUACGUUUUUCUUUUAUUUCAAAUCGUUAUUUUUUUUAGAUAUUUAUUUUAAUUGCUUUUCGUUUUAAUGCAAUAAGCUACAUUGCUAAAAAAAGGUAUAUUGUAAUUUUUUUUUCAAGUUUAUUAUUCUUAUAUGUUUAUAAUAUAUUCACCUUAAAACUAUUAAUUCAUUUUUUUUUUCAAUUUCUUAUUAAGAUAAGUUCUUGUUUAAAAACAAUACACAUGAUAAAAAAAAAAUGAGAGCAAAAAGAAAGAAUGAGUUAAUAAGGUACAAGGUUUUUUAAGAAAUGGUUACCUUUUUUUUCCUUAUUCUUAAUAGUUAUUUUUUUUUUUGGAUAUUGAUUUUGAUUGAUUUUAGUUUUUUAUGCAAUAAACAACAUUGCCAAAAUCAAAAAAGUUUUUGAAAAAAAAUACAUUAAUAAGGAAAAGAGAAUUCAUACUAACAUAUCACAUUUUUUUUAUAAUAUUUAAAUUAUUUUUUUUUUUGCAAAAAUCCUUUUUUAUUGCCACGUAAUCAAAUAAAAAAUUCAAGAGCAAAGCUGAAUUUGGAUACUUGUCAAUGUACUCAAUUCCUAUAUUGUCAAUUAGGUUCUUGACAGCUACAAGAAAAACGUACUUUGAAUUUGCACCCAAGUUGAUGUUAAAAGACUGACAUCAUCAAUGUCUAUAAAAUAUCUUCUUGAGAGCUGUUCAAAACCACGUAAUUUUCUUAAAAGCAUUUGAAUUUUCUUUUUCCUUGACGAGCACAUCAUCAAUGCCAUCUUCCCUCUUCACCACAGAUGGCAUCAUCAAUGUCUAUAUCUUCCCUCUUCACCACAGAUGUCUAUAUCUUCCCUCUUCACCACAGAUAUCAUUUGAAUUUUCUUCUUUUUUUUUCCUUUCAGAUCAAUAGACCUGCCCAAGAAUCUAUCAGGAUUGAACUCAUAAGCUUAUUAGUGGUAAUAAGACAGAUGCCGAUGGAGCAGAUCAAGACCAGCAACAUGGAAACAAAUCACUCCCAUGAUUACAAAACAAAAAUAGAAAGAGACGUGAAGACAUUGGUUGAGUACUAUGGAAACCAAUCAGCUGAGAAUUAGGCUAUUUAAUUUAUCCAAAUUAAGCAACCUGCACUGCUAUAUAAUAACUAGCCGCCUUUGCAGAAAGUAUUGCUGUCUAUUCACGUCUUGUUUUCCUAAGAAACAGAGAAAUCUUUUCUAACAUACUUAUCCUCUGUAAUUUUCUCUAAGGUCGAUCUUGGCUGGUAUUUCGUACCCAACUAUGUAACCAAGUGUCCAGGGCCACCUCUAGACAGCCGGGGGAUUCUUUUUGUUAUAGUCUUGUGUAUGUCGUUGAUGCAAUGAUGUUUGUGCUGGGAUGAACUAUACCAGAGCUACAUUGGAGAUCUCUCAUUUUGCUGCGAGGUUGGCAUAUGGCUAAAACUCGCCUUGUUUGAGCACAGAGCCGCCAUCCAUCACGAGGAGCAUAACUAUAUUAAGUAAAAUAUUUUAGUCCACGAAGUACUUCAUUAAUAUUUUCCACCCUACGAUUUUAAAUAAAGAAAAGGUGUGUCUCCUUCUUUUUUCUCACAAUGCAACAUUAUAUAAUAAAUUUACUUAACAUUUCAUAAUUACCCAAGAGAUCCAAUCUGAUAGCCAUGCCA
Molecule: long non-coding RNA, 14760 nt
Filed under: Populus tremula
Lineage: Eukaryota; Viridiplantae; Streptophyta; Magnoliopsida; Malpighiales; Salicaceae
Description: long non-coding RNA (PTRE_LNC001875)
Source: RNAcentral